AGGACGAACGCUGGCGGUCAUGCUUUACACAUGCAAGUCGAACGGCAGGCACGGGGGCAACCCUGGUGGCGAGUGGCGAACGGGUGAGUAAUGCAUCGGAACGUAUCCUUGAGUGGGGGAUAAACGCAGUCGAAAGUUGUGCUUAAUACCGCAUAAAGGCUACUGGAGGAGGAAAGCGGGGGACCGAAAGGCCUCGCGCUGAAGGAGCGGACCGAUGUCCGAUUAGGCUAGUUGGUGAGGUAAAGGUCUUACCAAGGCGACGAUCGGUAGCUGGUACUGAGA
This 282-nucleotide ribosomal RNA is filed under the name uncultured prokaryote. RNAcentral's name for it is "partial 16S ribosomal RNA". It matches the Rfam family "Bacterial small subunit ribosomal RNA", at positions 26 to 297 of the family's 1533-position model. The record is from RNAcentral.